UGAAGUCAGUCAGCUUGAAAGAAUGUGGUGGACAUUAGAGAAGACUCUUUGGUAUUUCAGACUCCAUCUCUACCAAAAUCGAGGAACAACUGCUGCUGCGGCUUCUAGCUACAAAAACAGAUAUGCUACUUUGCUUUCAUCUGGAAUCUUGUCAGCUGAAUGAAAAAGAGAAGGGGUUUUCACUUGAGCCAUAGAAUCAAAACAGGGCAACAGCUAGGUAAGAGCCAUUCUUCGUAAUACCCAGGAUACCAUAG
RNAcentral lists this long non-coding RNA (254 nucleotides) under Prunus persica (peach). RNAcentral describes it as "long non-coding RNA (PPER_LNC004451)". The record is from RNAcentral. Lineage: Eukaryota; Viridiplantae; Streptophyta; Magnoliopsida; Rosales; Rosaceae.